Long non-coding RNA from Diachasmimorpha longicaudata, 6085 nucleotides. RefSeq lists it as uncharacterized. The record is from RefSeq and is a predicted model, not a curated record. NCBI's taxonomy places the organism in Eukaryota, Metazoa, Arthropoda, Insecta, Hymenoptera, Braconidae. The transcript is spliced from 2 exons.
AUCAUUAGAGUAAUUGCAAUAGGGAAAAUUGAGAACGAUCUAAUUUUAUUCGUUUUUCGGUUGAGAGGUUCAGGAAUAUCUUUGGAUUUCAAUAGCGAUCAAUUCUUUAAAAAUCAAUCGCAAAGUAAGUUUUUAAUUUGUAAAUCAGUAGUGUUUUUCUCGUUCCGAGAUAUAAACUGUAAUCAACUUAGUUCUUUUCACAACUUCACCACUGAUUUAAUGCCUAAAUAUCGAUUCAUUAACAAGAUGCGUGUAAGCAUCAAUUCAAUGUUUUCAUUAUAUUUGAGUGUGAUGACAUGCAACAUUGCCAAAGCCAAAGCCUAAGAACAGAAAAAUCAUUUGCCGAAGUAAAACAACGUUAGAUCAAUCGAAUGACCAUUGCAGCUACGAAUAAUUCAUGUUUUUUCCUCAUUACAUCAGUAAUGAGGGAUUUCAGGAGAAAUAAUCAACGGCCUCUCUGCGGACAUAAUCCUCUUGCCUGAAAAAAUUUUUUCCACCUCUUCCUGUGAAUUCACACGUUCUCGAAAUAUUUGCAUAAUUAAAAGGAACUUAAUUUUCUUAAAUAAACCACUUCGUAUUCAUGCAAUUAAUUCGAUAAUGAGUAACCCUAAGAGGACUGACUUUUACACUAGAAAAUUGUGUGGAUUAGCCGAGGAUUCCUUGAUAUCUCUCCCGAAGUUUCUCAUUGCACAGACACCGGAAAUUCGGUUCAAUUUAUAUUAUCAAGAAUUAUCUACUUAUUUUACUCCAGCAAAUAUUUUCCCUUACAGCAUCAAACUUAUUCAAUAAAUAAUUCAGUGAUGACGAACACUUAAAAAAAGAGUGUGAAUGACGGUGACGGAAAGGCGCAAUAUAAUCAAUAAUUGAGUAAAAAAAUGUGUGCCUGUAAAUUAUCGCAGGUGAAUGGUUGGCGGUACACAGAAGGCGAAAUAAAAAAAACCUCCCGACGAAGUGUCUCUUCCAUGCUUGACUCCAUUAUUACAUUAUUUCCCUCCUUUUGCUCUCGAUUCCUUCGUAACGACAUUUCAAAGUGAAUUGAAAGUCUCCAGAACAGUGGAGUGAAAUAAAUUUCCACCCCUUGGACAAUUGUACAUAAAAAAAGAUCACAAAAGAAAGGUAAAAUAGUACUCUCAUGCCAAGUGGAAAGCCAUGUCACUGUUUAUAAAAGAAACUCCCAUGGAGCCAUGCCCAUUCUUAUUCUUCUCUUGAUUUUUUUUUUCAUCUGUUAUAUGUUGUUCGUUUAAUCUCAAUAACGUGAAUUCUCAAUUUCUCAAGCCUGUCUUGGUUUUCCUUACAUGGAGGUAUGUUUGACCAGCUUAAUGGUAUUCUUUCCACUACCCGAAUCUUGGAUCGCCGUUACACCGGCCACAUUGGCCAUUUUUUGGUCGCAAUACGGCAAUGGAAACCGCCAACCGUAAAGACUAUAAACAUCGAUGAAAAGAGAAAAGGAAACAAAUUUUUUAUGGUAAAUUAAAUGGGAAUAACAAUAAAGUAUAUCAUGUAGGGAAACCUAAUUAGAGAACUAACAUACCAAACUGUAAAUGUUUCAUUUUAUGUAAGGGGAUGAAUGAAGGUGUAAAUUGUCAUUUGAGUAGCAAAGAGGAGAAAAAAGUUUCAGUUUUUAAGUCUCGAUUAACUGAUCUUAGACUCUGACAUUCUAUUUUUUAUAAAUCUAUCCUUGCACAGGUCUGAAAACCAAAACUUUUUCUCAGUGAGUGGAAAGUGGUAAAAUGAGUCGAAUAGAGCAUGCAACUGUUCAUUGAUAAGUGGAUGUAUCAGAUUUAAUAGACAAUAUCACGCAAUCUUCUUUGAAAUACUAGAAUUUUUUUGGAGAAUAUUUUGGAGAAAAUAUUUCUUCGUGUAGGGAAGAACAAACAUUCACUUUUUACCACUUUUCUCAUAAAAUAUUUUAUAUCCUGAGAAUAAGUCCAAACAUGAACAUUUAUUUUGACCACAUAAAGAGAACAUAUACAGUGGGAGGAUUGAAUGAAUCUACAUGUGAAAUUAAACGACUGUUUUCCUUGCUUCAGAAUCAUGUUAUUUCAGGUAGAAAAAUAGAAAAGAAUAAUUUGAGUAUUUUAAGUUGAGGUUUGAAAGCCCUGUGAUAUCCAAAAAGUAAGACAUUUUCGUGAGUUUUAUUGUUCUUUCCAUCGAAAUGACUUGAUUUAUUCUGACAGUGAUAUGCAUUCGAGAUAUCCCAGGAGUUUAAAACUUAGAAAAUAAAAAUUCGUCAUUUUUGAAACAACAUUUGUUCAUCAUCUCGUGGAAGCAUACACCAGUUCCAGAUUGUACAAUCAAACGUCCCUCAAUAUUAAUGAAGAGGAGAGUGGCAAAAAUAGGCGGCCGAAUCACUGCUGGCGCAGUUUACGGAAGAAAAUAAACCUUAUCAACUUAUUUUUACCGUCUUUUUUAUUCCAUUUUUUUUUUAUUUUUUCCCCACUCUCCCCUAAAAUAUUGAAAAAUAAGGAAACUUUAAAAGUUCAAAUAAACUCUUAUUUUUCAUAAAAAAUCAAUAGUUGAAAAAACAUGGAGAUGACUCACCUGCCGAGUUUUGCAUCCUCUUCAUCCACUGGUUUCCUCCGUGAUCGUUCGCACACAUAGAAAAUAAUGCCUGUAAAAAGUUCAUCGGAAUUCUGUGAGUCAGCAUCGACAAUUCUGAACAAUAAUUACUCAUAUUCAUCCGCAUCACUCACCUGUUUUAUGUGCACAACAGCAAAUAACGUCGAUAAUUACAAUUAUGAUGAAGAGAAUUGCAACGACUAUUCCAAUAACAGCAGCACUCGAGAUCUCGUGAUUGUAGAAUUCGGGUUUCGAUGGAUUUGCUUGAAAAAUAAAUGAAAAAUGUGAUUGUUAAUCGUUGAAAUAAUGGAUUGGCUUUUUCGCAUAGAUCGUUAGUGCGGAUAAGCGAUAUUAAAAAAUAUUUGGUGGUGAUCCACAGAGAGACUAAACUAAUUUUUACAAUGAGAGCCGGAUAUUUUUGAUAUAGUUGGAAGAUCGCCUGGUCGAAAAAACAUGCGCUAAUUCAGACACUUGCAUAUUUUUGCAUUUACAAACACGAAUUUGACAAAUCUAAUUUCACACAUUUUUGUACUCCAUAAACAAUGACCAUUGUUCAAACAAUUUCAGGAAUAGGACCCCAAUGGUAAUCUGGACCACAUAUUCAAUAUUAUUAACAAAUGACUUAUGCAAGAGACGAGAACAUAUUUCAAAAAACGUUCUGCAAUAUGUCAUACACAUGUGUUGAACCUUUUUAUGCAACUGCUUCUUACUCUUGCAUAAUUAAUUUUAUGUCUGUUGUAGCAUGAAAAUAAAAUUUCGUGAAGCUCUCCCAAAAUCAUCAGGAGAUCUUCACGAUCUUCACGAUCACAAAAUUGUAUGAAAUUAUUCCGUUGAAAAUAUUCAAAAUAUUCUUAUUAAUUUUUUCUUAAUCCUGAAAACUUCCCAAAAAUUGUGAAACGUACUGGUACAUUCAUCUCAUCUCCCGAAGAACUACAAAUUCAUGAACCAAUAUAUUAGAACACCACCAAACAUAAGAUCAGUGAUUAUUAAUACCUGAAAAGGGAAGGGGUUAUUGGGAAAUACAAAAAAUCCGUUCUUAUCCAAAACAAAAGCACAACAAAAUCAAUCACUACUAGAGUUCAAAAGAGGUAUUAGUGCGCCACAGUUAAUAAACAUAAUUAACAAAAUAUAAAGUUAGCAUAAAACAAUCCAAAAGGGUGUUUAACACAGUCGAAGCAUGAAUACAGUGCAAAUUAAAUGAAUAGCGUUAAAAAAUCAUUAAAUUGUUAAAGAAGCCCAGACAGCACCAUUUCCUCUCGAUAUUUACUGUUAGUCUAUCCGGCAACUACUCUACAUAACAAUUUAUUUAAUGUGAUUUUGUCUACCCGUUUUAUUUAAUCCCAUGUCCAUUAUUAUCAUUAUUAUUGUUUAUUAUUCAUGAAUCAUCUCCAAGUCCAGAUGUGAUGAGGCCACUCAACAACAAUUCGUCCAUUAGUGUGAUUGUAUAGUUACCAUUUUUCUCAAUUUAUCUUUCUCAGAUAUUUAUCCUGUUCUUUUUCUUUUUCCGAUUUUUUUUUUCUAUGCUGCUCGUUCACUGAAGGGUUUAUAUUUCCCCCUGACGACGUAAUGGACAAGCAAAAAUAAGCGAGACAGCCACGAAAAGAAACCAUCUCAAAUUGAAUGAAAACAAGGUUUUUUCUCUUUUCAUUUUGCCAUUGAUUUUUACGUCGAUUUUAUCCGCUGAAAUAGGAAUUUUUGAUACAAGCCAAAUAUUGAAGGAGACUGUUUGUUUAUUAAACAAUUUGAAAUUGGCUUCCCCACUGGCAAUAACAUCGUGCACUUUUUGACACUUAUUGUAUAUUUAUCUUCUUUUUUUCUUUUAUCGUUGUUAAUGUAUGUACAAUAAUAUAAUGUUUUAUGUUCUCCUUUUUUGUGAACAUGAAAGAAAAAAUAGGAGUGAGAAAACUAUCUUCAAAAUGAAACCCUCAUUCUCAUAAAUAAGAGCGUUUUUUUAAAAACACCUUUAUGCAUACAUACAUAACAUCUACAUGUAUAAUAAUAUUUAUGUAUAAUAGGCUUGAGUUACAGAGGAGAAAUAAAAUGAAAAUUAUGGAUAUUAUGAACGGCGAGUUGUUUUUUCUCUUUUCUGAAUGGAUGCAUAUGCGGUGUGUUAUCAAGAUGAGAGUAAAACGGUGAAAAGGGUUGAGUUGGUCUUUUGGUGGUUCUUUGACUUUUUCUCUCCUUUGAUGGUGUUAUUUUUCUCGAGAAAGUAUUAAUAUGGUUAGAGAUCAAAGGUUGAAUGUUGUAUUAAAGGGAGAAAUAAUUUCUUUUCAUCCAGCGAAGGGAUCAUUUGAGGAGGGACCAUUGACGUCUGGGGAGUGAAUUAAUGAGGUAGUCAUUAAAUCUGACAAUUCGAGUGAUGAUAAUAUUUAUAAGGGGAAGGUCAUUUUUCGGAAGAUAUGGACCCGGGGGACAUAAGGGAAUUCGUAAUGAGCUUUUCGUAGUUCACGAUUUCUUUUCCAAGAAUAGAGAAGAUUUUGAUGACAAUGCAGACGUUUCGCGCGAAGUCUAUUUAAGAAAUCAGUGCAAAAUCAAUUGGGUUAAAUAUUUUCUUAGCAUAAAAGACUUCUAAGACUGUUUAAGACAGUCGAAUAAUGUUUUCUUCGGGGUUUUUAAACGAAGGGCCUUAAUGGACAGAUAAGAAAUUCUUGAUAUUGAAAAAACUGGAUUGAGAAAUCCAUGGAAAGCUCUCAAAUUUCCCUCUCUCAAUAUCAAUUAAUUAGUUACCAAAAUCAAUUAAUCAGUCACCCAGUCUGCGCCAAAUGCUCUCUAUCCACCAAAAUCCCAUCUAUUCCAAAAUCAAAUUAAUUUGAUGGUUGAGGCCAUUAGAUUCAACGAUUUGACCGAUGAUAAUAUCUCCUAGUGCCAAGAUUCUCUUUUGCAUCGUAUUCCUACCCCACAUCUAAAAUUGGAUGCGACUAUUUAUACACGUAAAAGUAACGUACCACGAUGUACACAGAAUGUACUGUGAGCCCUAGUGGAUUUUUCAUUGUGGAAGAAAACAAUCGAAACUGCACUACCCGAAAACGAAACGAAAAAAAAACCGUGAAAUAGUCACAGAAACUGGGAUUCCACAAUGUUUUUUACACUUUUCCUUGGCUCUCUGUUUGUUCUACCUCUUCCUCGGUCGUCAUUAACGGCUCGGCGGGUGGUGGUGGAGGUGGUGGGUGGUUUAGGGAUAAAAAAAUCGGCCAUUGUCAAACGCGCAAACGCUUCCCGAGCAUAAACGCAAAACCCUUUCAACCCUUUUCCUCGUUUUUCUUUCCUUCUCUGCUUUUUCCUGUUCAUUUCUGUUUUUUUUUUCUACUUUUCACUUUUUAUAUCGUAUACUUCUUCCUCAGUUACCGCGUUUGACUGUAAUUGCGCGAGGUACCAUAAUAAACAAACCCCUUCGCUAUGGCUAAAUGCAUUCUCCGAGUCUUUCAUUAGUAUUUAUAAAUCAAAUAUUUUUAAUCUGUUGGCUCGGUUGUAUAAGGUUCCUCAAUGCGUCCGUAGAUGAAUCGACUAAAAAGGUGAAUAUGAGUAG